Molecule: ribosomal RNA, 254 nt
Filed under: uncultured bacterium
Lineage: Bacteria
Description: partial 16S ribosomal RNA
Rfam family: Bacterial small subunit ribosomal RNA
Source: RNAcentral
GACGUAGGGCGCGAGCGUUGUCCGGAUUUAUUGGGCGUAAAGAGCUCGUAGGCGGCUUGUUGCGUCGACUGUGAAAACCCGCGGCUCAACCGUGUGGUCUGCAGUCGAUACGGGCAGGCUGGAGUUCGGUAGGGGAGACUGGAAUUCCUGGUGUAGCGGUGAAAUGCGCAGAUAUCAGGAGGAACACCGAGGGCGAAGGCAGGUCUCUGGGCCACUACUGACGCUGAGAAGCGAAAGCGUGGGGAGCGAACAGG